AUUGAACGCUGGCGGCAGGCCUAACACAUGCAAGUCGAGCGGAUCGGCGGCCGGGUGCGUAAUGCCUAGGUAUCUGCCUGUUCGUGGUGGAUAACGUCCGGAAACGGGAGCUAAUACCGCAUCCUUUCACAUUAGCCUAUGUCGGAUUAGCUAGUUGGUGGGGUAAAGGCCUACCAAGACGACGGUCCGUAACUGGUCUGAGAGGAUGAUCAGUCACACUGGAACUGAGACACGGUCCAGACUCCUACGGGAGGCAGCAGUGGGGAAUAUUGGACAAUGGGCGAAAGCCUGAUGCAGCCAUGCCGCGUGUGUGAAGAAGGUCUUCGGAUUGUAAAGUACUUUAAGCGGGGAGGCGUUACCAGCAGAAGAAGCACCGGCUAACUUCGUGCCAGCAGCCGCGGUAAUUC
RNAcentral lists this ribosomal RNA (407 nucleotides) under uncultured bacterium. RNAcentral describes it as "partial 16S ribosomal RNA". It matches the Rfam family "Bacterial small subunit ribosomal RNA", at positions 30 to 526 of the family's 1533-position model. The record is from RNAcentral.